CCUGGAGCCACCGUGAGCCACUGGUGACCUUGGGGCCACCAAGAUGCCACCAACGAGCCGGGGCCACCAUGACCUGGAGCCACCACGAGCCGCCGGUGACCUUGGGGCCACCAAGAUGCCACCAACGAGCCGGGGCCACCAUGACCUGGAGCCACCACGAGCCACCGGUGACCUUGGGGCCACCAAGGUGCCACCACGAGCCGGGGCCACCAUGACCUGGAGCCACCACGAGCCACCGGUGACCUUGGGGCCACCGAGAUGCCACCAACGAGCCAGGGCCACCAUGACCUGGAGCCACCGUGAGCCACUGGUGACCUUGGGGCCACCAAGAUGCCACCAACGAGCCAGGGCCACCAUGACCUGGAGCCACCACGAGCCACCGGUGACCUUGGGGCCACCAAGAUGCCACCAACGAGCCAGGGCCACCAUGACCUAGAGCCACCACGAGCCACCGGUGACCUUGGGGCCACCGAGGUGCCACCACGAGCCAGGGCCACCACCGAGUCAGGACUACGACGGGCUGGAGCCACCACGAGCCAGCAAUGAGCUGGUGCCACCGUGAGCUGGGGACAUCAGCGAGCCACCGAGAUGCCCCCAUGGGUUGGGGCCACCAAGAGCUACCACGGGCCACCACGAGCCACCAUAAACUGGGGUCACCAUGAUUUGGGGACCUCAACAAGCCACCAACAUCCCACCAUGGGCUGGGGCCACCGAGAGCCCCCAUGAACCAGGGUCACCAUGAUCUGGGGACAUCGAUGAGCCACCACGAGCUGGGGCCACCCUGGUGUCACCAAGACCCUUAAUGACACCCAUUUCCCCCCCCCCGAGGGCCUGCCCAGCCCCCCACGUGUGUGUUCCCCCCCUCCCCCCCCGCGUGGGGGCCCAGUUGUCCAGGACUUCGGGGUGGGGGGAAGGGGGACACCCCAAUAAAGACGGUGACAACA
Molecule: non-coding RNA, 944 nt
Organism: Phalacrocorax carbo (great cormorant)
Lineage: Eukaryota; Metazoa; Chordata; Aves; Suliformes; Phalacrocoracidae
Source: RefSeq, a predicted model, not a curated record